GCUGGACGUGGUGGCGCACGCCUGUAAUCCCAGCAGCUUGGGAGGCUGAGGCAGGAGGAUUGAAAGUUUAAAGCCAGCCUCAACAACCUGGUGAGGCCCUGAGCAACUUAUCAAGACCCUGUCUCUA
This 127-nucleotide small RNA is filed under the name Marmota monax (woodchuck). The record is from RNAcentral. Lineage: Eukaryota; Metazoa; Chordata; Mammalia; Rodentia; Sciuridae.